This 440-nucleotide ribosomal RNA is filed under the name uncultured bacterium. RNAcentral describes it as "partial 16S ribosomal RNA". It matches the Rfam family "Bacterial small subunit ribosomal RNA", at positions 338 to 795 of the family's 1533-position model. The record is from RNAcentral.
CCUACGGGAGGCAGCAGUGGGGGAUAUUGCACAAUGGGGGAAACCCUGAUGCAGCGACGCCGCGUGGGUGAAGAAGCGCCUCGGCGCGUAAAGCCCUGUCAGCAGGGAAGAAAAUGACGGUAACUGAAGAAGAAGCCCCGGCUAACCACGUGCCAGCAGCCGCGGUAAUACGUAGGGGGCAAGCGUUAUCCGGAUUUACUGGGGGAAACGGGGGCGCAGACGGCGCUGCAAGCCAGGAGUGAAAGCCCGGGGCCCAACCCCGGGACUGCUCUUGGAACUGCGUGGCUAGAGUGCAGGAGGGGCAGGCGGAAUUCCAGGUGUAGCGGUGAAAUGCGUAGAUAUCAGGAGGAACACCGGUGGCGAAGGCGGCCUUCUGGACUGCAACUGACGUUGAGGCCCGAAAGCGUGGGGAGCAAACAGGAUUAGAUACCCUUGUAGUC